Molecule: ribosomal RNA, 440 nt
Filed under: uncultured bacterium
Lineage: Bacteria
Description: partial 16S ribosomal RNA
Rfam family: Bacterial small subunit ribosomal RNA
Source: RNAcentral
CCUACGGGAGGCAGCAGUGGGGGAUAUUGCACAAUGGGGGAAACCCUGAUGCAGCGACGCCGCGUGGGUGAAGAAGCGCCUCGGCGCGUAAAGCCCUGUCAGCAGGGAAGAAAAUGACGGUACCGGAAGAAGAAGCCCCGGCUAACUACGUGCCAGCAGCCGCGGUAAUACGUAGGGGGCAAGCGUUAUCCGGAUUUACUGGGUGUAAAGGGAGCGUAGACGGCAGUGCAAGUUCGGAGUGAAAGCCCGGGGCUCAACCCUGGGACUGCUCUGGAAACUGCAAAGCUGGAGUGCGGGAGGGACAGGCGGAAUUCCUGGUGUAGCGGUGAAAUGCGUAGAUAUCAGGAGGAACACCGGUGGCGAAGGCGGCUUACUGGACAGUGACUGACGUUGAGGCUCGAAAGCGUGGGGAGCGAACAGGAUUAGAUACCCUAGUAGUC